UCCACCCCUAGCGUUCGCGUCCCGAAAAGAAACACAAACGAAAUCUCACGCCGGCGCUGCGCCGCCGCCGCCGCCGCUUGCUCCAGAUGUCCUGCUUGCGUCGCCGCCGUGCCUGGCGCCGCCGCCAUGCGUGCCCUUGCCGAGGUCACUUAACAGGGGUUUGCUGAGCGGAGAAGAGAUCCAACGCAAAGGAGACGCCGCCGUGCAGGAAGCUCUCCUCCACCCGGCCCGCUCGCGUCGUUGCCUUCGGGUUCAGGCCAAACCGCACGGCGUCGGUGAUGGCCGCCUCUGCUCCCCAAAGGCGACGGCCUCUUCUAGGCGGCUACACCACUCCGUCCUCUGCCAGGUCGCCGCCGCCAGGGACGUGGACGCACACGGGGCGGCCGGCCGCCAGCGAACGAUGACGCGCGUGCGAGUGUGCGGCGCGGACCAUGGAUCUCCUCCCUGCCGCUGCCGAGUUACCUGCUCCUAGCGAUGCCCUCUUGUCUCAUCCAUACAGGUUGCCACGGGGAAGAGGUGUGGUGGCGGCCAAGACGAGAACAAUGGGACACUGGAGUCCCUUGGAUGUCCGUGUUUAUGACAGAGCUUCAGCAGGUUUGUUAGGCUAAUAGGAUGGUAGGGAGCUUUGCUACAUAAUAAUACACAAAUGAUACUGGAGGAUGUUUUGCAAUUAGCAAGUUUCAAGGUCACAUGGAUGAUGAUAGCUCUCAGGUGUAUGUGAUAUUUGUUGUUGGGUAUUGUUGCCGUUUCUUCCUAUUGUGUCAAUGUAUAUUACUUCAGUUUCCGUAUUGAGAUUGAUAUGGAACUGUCUCAUCUUCCAGUGUGAACAUUAUAUACUUUCUCUCUCCAAAUCGCAUGAACAUUCCUGUAAAAACAGUGGCCACUUGCAUCACCAGGCUAAAUUAUGUAAGCAUAGUGCAGUUUUCUCUUCUCGUUACAUACACUUAUUGUAAUAAAAGUAGCCAUUUGCAUCAGUGGAGUAAUAAGGCAUAAUUGAUAAUGCAUAGACUUGCAUUUCAGACGAAAUAGGUACUUUUUGGCAUCUCCAUUAUUAGUCUCAAAACACUACUUUUCAUACUCUUCUACAUCUGAAGUAUUUAUGACUAUCAUGCUGAAGACAAAUCUUUUCUAAUAAAUAAACAAGAUCAAUGAAUUAUUGAUCUUAUCUUGGACUAUUAUUUGUAUUUAAAAUUUUAAAUCUUCUGCGGACUCUCACAAGAAUCAACUGUGGUAGACACCUCCUGGUAUCAGUGUGUGACUUGUCCCACUCGACAGGGUUUGUUGCGGCUCAACACGUCCUGACGCCACUGUGUGAUUCAUCAGUUUGCUGUCUCCAUCAUCCUGUGAGAGUUUACUAGAGACUUAUGUGUUCAUUUCCCUCUCCAUGGAUAUUUCAAAUGACACAAUGCGAUCUGCUCCUCUUCUGCAAACUGGUCACCAACCCCUAGGUGGUGAUUCAUUUUUAGGAAUUACGGUGUUGUUAAUAGUCUAUAGAUCAAAAGUACAUAAGGCAUCCUGAAUGUUGCGUCCUUUCUG
Molecule: long non-coding RNA, 1536 nt
Organism: Triticum dicoccoides
Lineage: Eukaryota; Viridiplantae; Streptophyta; Magnoliopsida; Poales; Poaceae
Exons: 4
Source: RefSeq, a predicted model, not a curated record